CUGCCGGGACGACCCGUCAGUCAUGAACGUUUCGUGGGACGACCCAC
RNAcentral lists this non-coding RNA (47 nucleotides) under Methylophaga lonarensis. RNAcentral describes it as "Guanidine-II sequence". It matches the Rfam family "Guanidine-II riboswitch aptamer (mini-ykkC)". From Rfam's summary of the family: Simpler in structure and has fewer highly conserved nucleotide positions than the ykkC-yxkD leader. Despite this each of its two stem-loop structures directly bind free guanidine. Therefore, mini-ykkC RNA motif represents a distinct class of guanidine-sensing RNAs. The record is from RNAcentral. Lineage: Bacteria; Pseudomonadati; Pseudomonadota; Gammaproteobacteria; Thiotrichales; Piscirickettsiaceae. RNAcentral also lists the same sequence under 1 other name.